CUGGUGGGACCAGAAUGGGGUGGAACAACCCCUGGGAGUUGAUCCCUCCAUGGGAUGGAGACAUCAAUGGGAGACGAAUCCAAGGGGUCCCUCCAAAGCGCCCAAAGCCUCACCUGGGCUCCUUCAGGGUGAUGCUCUUGGUCUUGUUGCAGAUCUCGAUCACCACAGAGCAGCUCAGUGAUGACCCCAUCCUGGCUCAGGAUCUCCUCAGCUCUGGGAUCUCCUCAGCUCCCAAAUCUCCUCAGCUCCCAAAUCUCCUCAGCUCCCAAAUCUCCUCAGCUCUGGGAUCUCCUCAGCUCUGGGAUCUCCUCAGCUCCAGGAUCUCCUCAGCUCUGGGAUCUCCUCAGCUUCCAAAUCUCCUCAGCUCUGGGAUCUCCUCAGCUUCCAAAUCUCCUCAGCUCCAGGAUCUCCUCAGCUCUGGGAUCUCCUCAGCUCCCAAAUCUCCUCAGCUCCCAGGAUCUCCUCAGCUCUGGGAUCUCCUCAGCUCCGGGAUCUCCUCAGCUCCCAAAUCUCCUCAGCUCCCAGGAUCUCCUCAGCUCUGGGAUCUCCUCAGCUCCCAGAUCUCCCCAGCUCCGGGAUCUCCUCAGCUCUGGAUCUCCUCAACUCCAGGAUCUCCUCAGCUCCCAAAUCUCCUCAGCUCCCAAAUCUCCUCAGCUCUGGGAUCUCCUCAGCUCCCAAAUCUCCUCAGCUCUGGGAUCUCCUCAGCUCUGGGAUCUCCUCAGCUCCGGGAUCUCCUCAGCUCUGGGAUCUCCUCAG
Molecule: long non-coding RNA, 756 nt
Filed under: Zonotrichia albicollis (white-throated sparrow)
Lineage: Eukaryota; Metazoa; Chordata; Aves; Passeriformes; Passerellidae
Description: lncRNA (ENSZALG00000001768.1)
Source: RNAcentral